This 403-nucleotide ribosomal RNA is filed under the name Fusobacteriota bacterium. RNAcentral describes it as "Fusobacteria bacterium partial 16S ribosomal RNA". It matches the Rfam family "Bacterial small subunit ribosomal RNA", at positions 355 to 776 of the family's 1533-position model. The record is from RNAcentral. Lineage: Bacteria; Fusobacteriati; Fusobacteriota.
UGGGGAAUUUUGCACAAUGGAGGAAACUCUGAUGCAGCGACGCCGCGUGAGUGAUGAAGAUCUUCGGAUUGUAAAACUCUGUCCUUAGUGAAGAUAAUGACAGUAACUAAGAAGCAAGCCCUGGCUAAAUACGUGCCAGCAGCCGCGGUAAUACGUAUGGGGCAAGCGUUGUCCGGAAUUAUUGGGCGUAAAGGGUACGUAGGCGGUUUAAUAAGUCCUAAUUAAAAGGCUAUGGCUCAACCAUAGUAUGGUUAGGAAACUGUUGAACUUGAGUGGAGGAGGGGAAAGUGGAAUUCCAUGUGUAGCGGUGAAAUGCGUAGAUAUAUGGAGGAACACCAAUGGCGAAGGCAACUUUCUGGAAUCAAACUGACGCUGAGGUACGAAGGCGUGGGGAGCAAAAAGG